GAUGAAGAACGUAGCGAAAUGCGAUAAGUAAUGUGAAUUGCAGAAUUCAGUGAAUCAUCGAAUCUUUGAACGCACAUUGCGCCCCUUGGUAUUCCGGGGGGCAUGCCUGUUCGAGCGUCAUUUCAACCCUCAAGCUCUGCUUGGUAUUGGGCUCCGUCCUCCUCGGACGCGCCUCAAAGACCUCGGCGGUGGCGUCUUGCCUCAAGCGUAGUAGAAACACCUCGCUUUGGAGUGCAUGGCGUCGCCAGCCGGACGACACCUUUUGUAUUUUCUCAAAGGUUGACCUCGGAUCAGGUAGGGAUACCCGCUGAACUUAAGCAUAUCAAUAAGCGGAGGA
Molecule: unclassified non-coding RNA, 337 nt
Filed under: soil metagenome
Description: partial contains 5.8S ribosomal RNA, internal transcribed spacer 2, and large subunit ribosomal RNA
Rfam family: 5.8S ribosomal RNA (bases 1-120)
Source: RNAcentral